Molecule: long non-coding RNA, 448 nt
Filed under: Olea europaea (common olive)
Lineage: Eukaryota; Viridiplantae; Streptophyta; Magnoliopsida; Lamiales; Oleaceae
Description: long non-coding RNA (OEUR_LNC005776)
Source: RNAcentral
UUUAUAUCAAAAUUACAGGUACAAGAAAUUCAAAAUGGCAAAGCUUUCAAAAUCAUUUUUCUUACUGAUAUUCCUUGUAUUUGUAGCAUCAGGUAUUGAUUUAUUUACUGUUUCGCAUUUAAAUGAAUUAUUAUUUAGUUUGAAACUAUUAAAAUGAAUUUAUUUAUUUUUGCAUGCAGAUUGCUUGGCUUACAAGAUUUGCAAAACUACAUUUCGCUAUAGUUGCACCCCCAACACCAAAUCAUGCGAGGGAACAUGCCAAGAUGUAAUAAUUGUUCCGUCACCAUACAUAAGAAGCUAUUGUAUAAUUGGGCAACACGAAACUAGUUAUUGUGUGUGCGAAUAUAAAUGUUCUCUCUCUACUCUCAAGAUGAAGAAACAAGUUAUCAGAAAUUGAGAAAAGGACAUCAAUGGUCAUCAUGUCAAUGAGUUGAGAUAUUGAAUAAAC